ACGGAAGGCAGCAGUGGGGGAUAUUGCACAAUGGAGGAAACUCUGAUGCAGCAACGCCGCGUGAGGGAAGAAGGUCUUCGGAUUGUAAACCUCUGUUUUUGGUGAAGAAUAACUGACGGUAGCCAAAGAGGAAGCCACGGCUAACUACGUUCCAGCAGCCGCGGUAAUACGUAGGUGGCAAGCGUUGUCCGGAUUUACUGGGUGUAAAGGGUGCGCAGGCGGGACUGCAAGUUGGAUGUGAAAUACCGAGGCUCAACCUCGGAGCUGCAUCCAAAACUGUAGUUGUUGAGUGGAGUAGAGGCAAGCGGAAUUCCGAGUGUAGCGGUGAAAUGCGUAGAUAUUCGGAGGAACGCCAGUGGAGAAGGCGGCUUGCUGGGCUCUAACUGACGCUGAGGCUCGAAAGCGUGGGGAGCAAACAGGAUUAGAUA
Molecule: ribosomal RNA, 428 nt
Filed under: uncultured Ethanoligenens sp.
Lineage: Bacteria; Bacillati; Bacillota; Clostridia; Eubacteriales; Oscillospiraceae
Description: partial 16S ribosomal RNA
Rfam family: Bacterial small subunit ribosomal RNA
Source: RNAcentral